Molecule: ribosomal RNA, 167 nt
Filed under: Syngnathoides biaculeatus (alligator pipefish)
Lineage: Eukaryota; Metazoa; Chordata; Actinopteri; Syngnathiformes; Syngnathidae
Description: partial 12S rRNA
Source: RNAcentral
CACCGCGGUUAUACGAGAGGCUCAAGCUGACAGAAUUCGGCGUAAAGAGUGGUUAGGAGUAAAAAAAAUUAAAGCUAACCCCCUUCAAAGCCGUUAUACGCAUUCGAAGACCUGAAACCCCAUUACGAAAGUGGCUUUAAUCCCCUGAACCCACGAAAGCUAUGGAA